This 76-nucleotide transfer RNA is filed under the name Clostridium sp. Its description in RNAcentral is "tRNA-Pro". It matches the Rfam family "tRNA". From Rfam's summary of the family: Transfer RNA (tRNA) molecules are approximately 80 nucleotides in length. Their secondary structure includes four short double-helical elements and three loops (D, anti-codon, and T loops). Further hydrogen bonds mediate the characteristic L-shaped molecular structure. tRNAs have two regions of fundamental functional importance: the anti-codon, which is responsible for specific mRNA codon recognition, and the 3' end, to which the tRNAs corresponding amino acid is attached (by aminoacyl-tRNA synthetases). tRNAs cope with the degeneracy of the genetic code in two manners: having more than one tRNA (with a specific anti-codon) for a particular amino acid; and 'wobble' base-pairing, i.e. permitting non-standard base-pairing at the 3rd anti-codon position. The record is from RNAcentral. Lineage: Bacteria; Bacillati; Bacillota; Clostridia; Eubacteriales; Clostridiaceae.
CGGGGUGUAGCGCAGGUGGUAGCGCGUUAGACUGGGGGUCUAAAGGUCGCAAGUUCGAGUCUUGUCACUCCGACCA